GAGUUUGAUCCUGGCUCAGAUUGAACGCUGGCGGCAGGCCUAACACAUGCAAGUCGAGCGGCAGCGACUUAACUGAACCUUCGGGGAACGUUAAGGGCGGCGAGCGGCGGACGGGUGAGUAAUGCCUGGGAAUAUGCCCUGAUGUGGGGGAUAACUAUUGGAAACGAUAGCUAAUACCGCAUAAUCUCUUCGGAGCAAAGAGGGGGACCUUCGGGCCUCUCGCGUCAGGAUUAGCCCAGGUGGGAUUAGCUUUGUUGGGUGAGGUAAUGGCUCACCAAGGCGACGAUCCCUACCUGGUCUGAAAGGAUGAUCAGCCCACUGGAACUGAGACACGGUCCAACUCCUACGGGAGGCAGCAGUGGGGAAUAUUGCACAAUGGGGGAAACCCUGAUGCAGCCUGCCGCGUGUGUGAAGAAGGCCUUCGGGUUGUAAAAGCACUUUCAGUAGGGAGGAAGGUAGUGUAGUUAACACCUGCACUAUUUGACGUUACCUACAGAAGAAGCACCGGCUAACUCCGUGCAGCAGCCGCGGUAAUACCGGAGGGUGCGAGCGUUAAUCGAAAUUCUGGGCGUAAAGCCCAUGCAGGCGGCCUGUAAUUCAGAUGUGAAAGCCCGGGCCUAACCUCGNANUGCNUUGAAACUGGCAGGCUAGAGUCUUGUAGAGGGGGUAGAAUUUC
RNAcentral lists this ribosomal RNA (676 nucleotides) under Photobacterium damselae. RNAcentral's name for it is "bacterial SSU rRNA". It matches the Rfam family "Bacterial small subunit ribosomal RNA", at positions 9 to 669 of the family's 1533-position model. The record is from RNAcentral. Lineage: Bacteria; Pseudomonadati; Pseudomonadota; Gammaproteobacteria; Vibrionales; Vibrionaceae.